GCACGUGCCGCCGGCGUGCUUUGGAAAGCACGGAGCUUCCCCUGCUCUCUGGCCAACCCCAUGCCAGUGCUGACGGCGGGCAGAGGAAGGUUGCCGCAGAGACCGUGGCAAAGCACACGUCUGCAGUGCCGCCAUGGAUACCACAAAAUACAAUGCGAUUCAUAAGAAUGAAAACUCAGGGCCCGUCGUGACUGUCAAAAGGGAAGGGCAAAAUACGCAACUGGGACAGGACGGGUGGGAAUUUGGAAUGUGUGUGUGUGUGGGGGGGGGGGUUAAGGUCAGGGCAUUUUAGAUUUGGUUUGCUGUACGCUAAACAUGCAGCACUUACCACGGGGGGGGGCAACUGGCUCUGUGCCAAGGCAAGGGCAGAAAGUGUCCUGAUCACCUCUUCACAAUAGGGCUGCAUAUUUGGCAACGAUAUCAAACCCCCCCUUCCUUUCAUUCUAUUUUUGAGAAAAUAAAUAGGUAUUCUGUGCGUUUCCAUGGAGGCCGCUUAAGACAAAAACAAUGUCUCAAGGAGAACCAGGGCUAAAUAUGAAUUGUCAACGACGAUUAUCUUUCCCUCUGCUAAUUCUUGCUUGCGGGAAAGGAAGGAGCGGGAUUUAUCUGUAAGUGUCGGAUCAGGACAGUCUUGGGACUAACAGGAUGUGGGACCCUUCAUGGCAGUGCUCACUAGUUCUCUACAUCUGACAGUAAAACGUCCAUCAAUGAGGACAGAUAAAGAUGCAACCCCCCCCCCCCCAGAGAUGGGGCAAAGAUUUACAGACUUUCAAAAUCUCCAAAUUAUAAUCUGGACUGGGCCGCCUGUGCGACCUAGAUGGUGCUGAUGAUGCCUUAUUUACCAGUCACAUGACCCACUGUCUUCUGUGUCAGCAGGGCCUCAGAGUGGUGCCAAGCCUGGGUGCCUGGAUGUGGAUAGCAGUCCGUUGUAAUGCGGCAGGUGGAGGGCAGCAGGAGGAACUGGGAGCCUCCUUGAGGCGCCACGACAAGUUGAGAUGGGGGGGUCAGCCCGCCCCUGGCUCCCUGACUCAUUGUUCCACUGACAAUCCCAUUGUUGCCUUGAGGCCCCCCUGGAAGUUGGAGGAUAUGAAACAAUAGGCACCGUGCAUUUGGGUCAGCUUGUCGGGUCUCAAACCCACGCCCUUCACACUCCUCCUGGUGCCCAGGGCCGCCCUGCUCCCCAUUGCUCUUUCUAAUCACAGGUGGAAAUGGGAACCUGUGCCAAUGGCUCAGAUAUGCCGUUAGAUCCAGACAAGCCAGCAGAGGCAAUGAGACCAACAGUGUUACCAAGGCCAGUUGCAUUGCAAGUUACAUUAAAAUGUGUUACCAAAAUUUCCCAAGAAAACUGCAAAGUGCUCAUGCUUUGAAAAAAAAACAUUCGGGGUAAAGGAUGGUCCUUGGUGGCAGAUAUAACAGAAGCUCAUGCUAUUUGUAGGUAUGGCAGCUGCACCCAGGUUAAGCCUGCAAAUGAAGCUUCCUAAGACUUCAAACCUGGGCCUCAAUGACCUUGAGCUCUCCUAGCAAGAUGCUGUGUGUGAUGAUGGACUUAUUAUAAGCCCAGAAAUCAGCCAUGACAACCACUUCCACGACAACAGCAGCUUAGUGGUGUUGAUGACUCUCCCUCGAGACUUCAUCAGGGCAAAAGCGGAGCAUCAAGGAUUUUUGGGACAAGGAGAACGACGACAAGGUUACAGAGACAUGAAUCAUGGUAUGGCAGAGCAGGAAGUGGGAAGGCUUUUAUAUCCUGAGGUGAUAUGGAAAUAUGGAAGCCCAAAUGAUGUGCAAAGUGUGUGGGUUCUGCUGCUCACGGAAUUCCUAAACAAGUCAGCAUAGAAGUGCCUACUGAUGAAGGACGUAUAGCAGGUAAAAUGACAGUUCAGUUCUCUGUUUUAGCUGCACGAAAUACUAUUUCAUUUGUAUAUCAGGAAAAGAACCUUACAAGUACCUUAAAAAAAGUACCCAAAGCAACGCAAAAUGCGCUUUUUCAGAUGGAAAAAUUAAUAUGUGAUAUCACCGCCAAAACUUUGCAAUCCCCACGGUGCACUGCUGGCUGGGUCCCUAAGCAGGGUGGGUGUGGCUGUGCGAUCCGCCCAGGCCUGGGUCGCAAUGGGGCCAUGGGUGGUAUUGAGCACCUGUGCAGCUUGUGAGAGCAAGCCAGCCUCCAGCAUUCCAAAAAUCCAGUCUGGACAGCUCUGGGGCUAUAGGGCUCUGGCCUGGGAGAAGAAUUUGAGGCACAGUGCUCUUGCAGGGUCUCUGAGUCGCAGUGGCUCUGAGGCAUCGACCCAACAGACGCCACAGGAGCUGACGAAGGAGUUUAAAAAACAUACAUAUGCAAACACAAACACAGUCACCAAAAACUCACCUCAUAGCUCAACGCCCACUCGACAAACACUAACAAACUUUCGCACGGCAGAGAAAAAAAUAAAACAACAUGUAAGUUUCUCCAUGAGCAAGAGUCUCCAGGAGGCUCAACCAAAUUGUCAUCAGAAGGAUGACUAAUGUAAUGGGCAGAUUUAGUUAAUUUUGAACGUUUUAACUAUUCACUUUAUUAAUUGUGCCAGGCAAUUUAUCUUGAAGGUCACAGACUUUCCGAAUCGUUCAGUCAGCUGUCACUCCUUGACUCCAACUGCGUCAUUUACUGGACAUCAAACACAUGUCCAGGCAAAUACAUCUACAGAAGGUGCAGAGACUCAUAAGAGUCACCUGGAGAGAAUCUGUGACUUAACUAAAAACAGGAACGGUGGAUAAGUAGCCCACUCUUAGGCGCGUCGGCCUAGAUGGAGUGAAGAAGUGGUUUCUAAAAUACCAAUGAAAAAAUUGCAUCUGGUAAGAUGUUCAUGCAUCUCAAAAUUAAAGGAAACUGCUUAUUGAUCAACGGGUGAAUUUAGCCAGGGUCCUCUUUAUUAGACAAAUUAUAAAGUCAUUUUUAAUAAUCUUCCAGGAAUUAUCGGAUUAGUAAGGUGAAACAGAAUUAAUUUGUAUUGGCAAGCAUAAAUCCGCAUUGAUCCAGCAGGUGCCAUCAGUACCAGGGAUAUGCAGAGCUGGCUCAGUGGAGAAGCAUCAAAGGGCACGGAGAGGGACUAAAGGUGGAGAACCAGCAGCCACGCUCCAUUACGCUGGCCGUCCACGCGAGAGGGACGACGGAGCCGCUGGCCGACCUUCUGCACAGACGGCAUAGCUCAAAUCGAAUCCUUUUAAACCUCAAAUUUUGGCCAAACACAAAUCUAAUCUGGGUUUCAUUCAAUAGACAUUUGCAACCUAUCAACCUCUUAAAAGCUCCGACGAAAGGGAGAGAGGCUUAGCCGUUGCACAACUGCCUUAUGGUGUUAAAACAUCUUUCUGAUAAGAGAAGAUAUCUUACCCCAAUAAACACUUGCAUAACCAA
Molecule: long non-coding RNA, 3385 nt
Organism: Brienomyrus brachyistius
Lineage: Eukaryota; Metazoa; Chordata; Actinopteri; Osteoglossiformes; Mormyridae
Exons: 2
Source: RefSeq, a predicted model, not a curated record